AGAGCGAACGCUGGCGGCAGGCCUAACACAUGCAGGUCGAGCGCCCCGCAAGGGGAGCGGCAGACGGGAGAGUAACACGUGGGAACGUACCCUUUGGUUCGGAACAACACAGGGAAACUUGUGCUAAUACCGGAUAAGCCCUUACGGGGAAAGAUUUAUCGCCAAAGGAUCGGCCCGCGUCUGAUUAGCUUGUUGGUGAGGUAACGGCUCACCAAGGCUACGAUCAGUAGCUGGUCUGAGAGGAUGAUCAGCCUCACUGGGACCGAGACACGGCCCAGACUCCUACGGGAGGCAGCAGUGGGGAAUAUUGGACAAUGGGCGCAAGCCUGAUCCAGCCAUGCCGCGUGGAUGAUGAAGGCCCUAGGGUUGUAAAGUCCUUUCGACGGGGAAGAUAAUGACGGUACCGUAGAAGAAGCCCCGGCUAACUUCGUGCCAGCAGCCGC
RNAcentral lists this ribosomal RNA (443 nucleotides) under uncultured bacterium. RNAcentral describes it as "SSU rRNA". It matches the Rfam family "Bacterial small subunit ribosomal RNA", at positions 26 to 518 of the family's 1533-position model. The record is from RNAcentral.